This 104-nucleotide small nuclear RNA is filed under the name Saimiri boliviensis boliviensis (Bolivian squirrel monkey). Lineage: Eukaryota; Metazoa; Chordata; Mammalia; Primates; Cebidae. The record is from RNAcentral.
GGCCUCACGCUGGCAGCACAUACACUAAAAUUGAAAUGAUACAGAGAAGAUUAGCAUGGCCCCUGUCCCAAGGAUAAAAUGCCCUCUCAAUCAUGAUCAUUUAU